Molecule: long non-coding RNA, 1237 nt
Filed under: Anser brachyrhynchus (Pink-footed goose)
Lineage: Eukaryota; Metazoa; Chordata; Aves; Anseriformes; Anatidae
Description: lncRNA (ENSABRG00000015873.1)
Source: RNAcentral
UCUCUUUCAGUGCUGUUGUUCGUGUCCUAAAGAAGGACCUUUCACAGAAAUUUAAGUUUUGUGUGCUUUAAGGUAAGAAAACAUGGUAGUGCUGCUGAAAGCAGUGACUGUGCUUUCUCUGUCAAAUUGUUCCUGUCUCUGUGCUGGUAUCUCCCAGUUGAUCCAGCAGAUCCAGCUGAAAACUUUGCUGGGAGAUGAACUGAGCGAGAGAAAUGAUCCCGGAGGUGUAGCAGCAGGGAUGCACUUGGAGGCACAAGGAAUUGGAGGAUAGGAGUGAUGGGCCAGCUUGGCAGUUUAAAUUGCGUAUGGAAAAGAAAAGUGCAUUCCACUACAGGAAGUCUGCAAGUGGUAUUCUUCGUUUACAGGAGAAUAAAAUGUUACAUGGACUGUCUCACUCUUCCUUCUGUAGAAGGAAAACAAUACUUACAAAAGCAGGUUUAUACUAAUGUCUUUAGACAGACUCUUCCUCUCUUUUCAUUGUGCGAUGUACAGGGUACCACCAUGCAAAGGGGAGACAGUGAUACAGGGGAUGCUACAAAGGCGUGUAACUUUAAUACCACUUGAGAGUUUUUUAUUGUUGUUCCUGUUUUGUUUCUCUAGCUAAAAGAGCAUGUUCAAACUUUCUCAAGUACAUGGAUCAUUUGUACACACACAAUGUAGGUGUUCUUGCCUGGACGUCUCCCUUCAGUUUGCAAGAUCCCAGACAAUCUUUUUCUUGUGUCUAAUUUCUUAAGACCCCACCAGUAGCUAUGACCAUUGAAAAUACUGUAGUGGUGUGAAGUCAUGUAAUACGUUAUUGCUUUUUUGGCUAUAAAAAUAGUUCUUUGUUUUCUAGAAUACCUGUGAUGUGUAAAAACCGAAGGAAAAAACAAGUGAGAGAUCAGCAGGCUAUUUGGUGUCUGUUGUGGCCGGCAGCCUUGGUUCCAGAACAAGCUACUUUGCCUUGUUAACUUGCUGAAGCAACUGUAAGGCUUUGCUUAUCUGUACAUAAAUACAUCAUUCCCACCUCUGAAGUACCAGAGGAACAGAAAUGAACCUGCAGGAUUUGAUAGCAGCAAUAUGCUAAUGUAAAGUUAUUGUCAUGGAGUGGCAUAAUUGUGCUCUUGGUCUCUGAAUAAUAACCCACAUAAGUGGAUUAGCCUGACCCUUGAAAAUGGGUAAUUAGUUGUUAUGUUGGACCUCUGUACUGAAAGAGCUAGAAGAUAAAUUAGGUUGAGGAGGUUUCUAGCUUUGUUUU